Molecule: non-coding RNA, 4217 nt
Organism: Coffea arabica (coffee)
Lineage: Eukaryota; Viridiplantae; Streptophyta; Magnoliopsida; Gentianales; Rubiaceae
Source: RefSeq, a predicted model, not a curated record
CAACCUUUGCCUCGGGGAGGACUCGGUACAAUUAUUCUUACUCUUACAUUACAGAGAGAGAGAGAGAGAGAGGAGCACGUGCGGGCAAUUUGUCGCGGUCAGAAAGAGAGAGAGAGAGCGCGUUGGUUGUGAUCAAUUGAAGCAAACACCAAUUAAAAUCGAACCAAUCCUCUUCCUCCUCCUCCUCCUCCCCCUUCCGGUAUGAAAUCCCCCCAAUUUUGAAUGGAAAACCUAACCCUAGCCCCUAAAAUUACCACCCCGUCCUCCUAUCCAUCCUCCAAAUGCGGCCUUCUUCCUCUUCCCCAUUCCCCAAUUUACACUUUCUCCACCAUCUUCUUUGCUUUCGCUGGGGGUUGACCUAUUAAGUAUUAACCUUCCUCCACCACCCGCCUCCAUUUUUCCCCUCUCUCUCUCUCUCUCUCUCUCUCUCUCUCUCUCUCUCGGUUAUAAGUUUAUGGACAGACUAUAGUGCUGCUUCUUACUCCUGUCUCCUUUGUACUUCUUCUUUCCUUCUGUAUCUUUAAUCUUUCUUUAUUUGUCAUUAGUAAGACGUAAAAUUAUACACAGACUGAGAGAGUGAGAGAUAGAGAAAGAGAGAGAUGUUGUAGAGUACAAUUUAGUCAUCAGAGCCUAUUAGGAUCAGUCAGUCGGGAGUGCUUCAUAAUAUAGGAUCAGUCAGUCAGGACUCCGUAGCGAAGUCUAUAGUAAGUGUAUAGUUUGUAAUUAGAAAAAAAAAAAAAAACCAAAUUUUUUUUUUAAUUGCUGGUAAUUGUAGUUCAGCUAUAGAUUGCAUAAAUACAUAGAUACAUCUAUAACUAUUUACCAUAUAAUCAUUACUCGAUUGAGCCAGCUCCAGCUACUUAAGCCUGGAGAGCAAUGGGUAGCUCAGAAACAGGAGCCGGAGCUGAUUGCAGCAUUGGGAGUAUAGUUUGGGUCCGAAGACGAAACGGGUCUUGGUGGCCCGGUAAAAUACUCGGACCUGACGACCUAUCGGCUUCUCAUGUUAUGUCUCCGCGAUCUGGAACUCCUGUCAAACUUCUUGGCCGAGAAGACGCCAGUGUAGACUGGUAUAAUUUGGAGAAGUCAAAGCGUGUGAAGGCAUUUCGAUGUGGUGAGUUUGAUGACUGUAUUGAAAGGGCCGAAGCUUCCCAAGGUAUGCCUCCAAAGAAGAGAGAGAAAUAUGCACGUAGAGAAGAUGCAAUACUUCAUGCUCUUGAACUUGAGAGGCAAAUGUUGGAGAAAAAAUGUGGAAAAGUAGGUUCUUCUACUAAUGAUGAGGCACCAUACUGUCUGAGGAAAGAUUUGGUGACAACUUCAGAGAAAUCAGAGACUGGAAAACAAAAAAUUUUGCAACCAGAAACUGAUCAAGUUUGUCAGAGUCAUUGUCUAUCUGCCAAGGAUAAGGCUGUGAGCCAAACUAUUUGUCUAGAGAGAGUCAAAGAAGAAAAUCAAAUAACUGUUGAUGAUGACAAUUCUGCUGUGCCACCCAGGAUGAGAGGUUUGCAGGACCUUGGUCUGCGUGCUGUGCCUUCUAAUCUUAAGGCUUCUCCUUCAUUGUUUCCAAAUGGUUCUCACAAGCCUUUAUUUGAUAGCAGUGCUGUGGCUCAUUGUAAUGAUGAUGGUCUUGGCACAGAAGACAUGGCUAAUGCCGAUUUUGAAAAUUCAUCUGACAAAAGAAAAAGGCUGUACGAUGGUUUAGAUGAGGACUCUCUUGCCAAGAGGCGUGAGAGGCGCCGUCCUCUUCUUCAAGUGCUGGAGGAUAGUACAGAGGUACUUGUGCCUCAUUCUAAGGCUGAUGGUAGUUCUAAUAUUACCUCUAUGUCCGAAUAUCAGAAGCCAGGGGGUACAAUUGGUGUAACCAGGAACAGAUACACUUGUUUGCAACCUACAGAUUUGUGCAAAGAAGAUAACAUGCGGUCUGCAGAGGAUACUGAAACUGAUUCUUCGGAGACCGAUUCUAUGGAUUCUGAUACAGAUGAGCUGGCUUCACUUUCAGAAGGUGCUGCAUCUAUUGAGUUGCAACCAAAAUAUCCUCGAAGAUCUGAAGUACUAGCAGAAAGUAGAAGCGUAAGCAGUGAAGAACUAGAUGACUUGGCACUUGGAGAUGAUUUAACUCAUCCUUGUAGUAUUGACCCUGCAUUACAUAGUACGGGCAUGUCCAGAUGGCAGCUUAAGGGAAAGAGGAGUCUGCUAAAAAGGCCCGUUGAUGGAGCAGACAGAAAUUUGUCCUGGGGAUCCAUUGAGGAAACAACACCUUUUGAAUUGGAAACAAAUGGCCGAGCUGAAAAUUACUUGGUCGAGAAGAAUUCUACGCAUAAGAUGGCUGGAUAUGGGUCUAGAGGUCCAGAUGGUAUAAGCCGCAGAACCAUGCAGUGGCAGCACUGUGAUUGGAAUGACCAACAAUACUGGGAGGACUCGGGCAAGUACUUUGCUCCCGUCUUUCUUGGUCAUCACCAUGAUGGUAGCAGGGUUAUGUUGAUAGAUGUCGAUUUGAAUGUCCAAUCAAGCUAUCAAAGACAGCAUGUCAAAUCAGGCAAUCAAAGACAGCAUGUCCCUAUGAUCUCAUUGAUGAGUAAGAUAAAUGGGCAGGCUAUAGUAGGGUAUCCCGUCCAAGUUGAAGCUCUAGAAAAUGGAUCAUCUGAGUCUGUCCUUGCAGAAACUGAUGAUUGGGGUCCUGAAACACCAGGAAAUGAAACAGCACUUCCACCAACAUGGAGGACUGCUCGGAGGACAGCAAAUUUUCGGGUCCCACGGCCAGAUCUAUCUUCAACAUGUGAUGAAAGUGCCAAGCAUCUUCAAUUUGUUGAUGGAAGAAGAGGGUGCUCAGGGAAAUCAGAUGCAGGAACUUUUGGUCACAAGGGAGGCAUAAUGGAAAAGCACACAAGUAGCAUUCCAGUAGAUAGAAAAUCCUCAAGGAAGCCAUUAAAGAAAAUAAGCCUAUCUUCGAAUCAAAAGAUUAGAACACUUUCAUCAAUCGCCUCUCAACAGAAACAAAGUAUUGAUCGUAGACAGAGCAGCAAUAAUUUUCAAGUGGAUGGGCUGAAACCAGAGUUGGUGUCCACAGCUGUAGCUUGUAUUCCAGUUAAACUAGUGUUCAGUAGGUUACAAGAGGAGUUGGUUGGCCGCCAUCCAUGAUAAUGGUUUUGGAAUUUCUCUAUGGCAAUGGAGAUGGCAAUACAGACAGCAAUAGCUAAUAGUUUCUGUAGCAGGCCUUGAACUACAGAUUGACGCAAGAUGUAUGGUAAAUGACAUAUAUUAGGUGACUUUAGUUCAGGAUGAUGAGAUGAUACAGCUAUUUUUACAUGGUCUUUGUUGAAACAAGGUCGAAAGCUCGCCUGUACGAGUAGAACUCACAAAAGUAUAGAAAUGCGAUCUACUUGGCAGUGAAGCAAUCUGGAAGGUCUUGCACGGUUGUGACGCAGUAGAACCGUUGAAGAGAGACGAAGGACGUAGCAAUAGUCGAGCAUGCAACUUUGACACAUUCUAGAAAUGACCUUGACUUGAGCCUUGACCACGGAAAGAAAUGGUAACCUUUUGAGUUGAUAGAACAAACAAAAGCUAUGACAGGAACAUGUCAACGAAAGUUCACUUUGCGCUGGUUAGAAAAUUAAACAGGAAGACUUGAGUGAAAAUCAUCUUGAACAUACCCAAGUUGAAAACUGUAGGGCUCUAAAAGUGAACUUUGAUAUGCUCCUGUUGUUUGCUCAGAGUUAACAUUGGGGGGUAGGACCCGUAAAGGAAGAGUCUAAGGUAGAGAGAAUAGGAACGAAAAUGGGCAGGUAAAAUUCUAUAUUUUAUUCAAGUAUUAGGUUAUUUUCAUAUUACACGACUAAAAGGUUCUUGUUGGGUGGGUUUGAUAUUGAUGAAAGCCUCAGAUAACCUAACAAGGUUUGGUAAGAAAUCUUUAAAAACUUGAAUAAUAUUUGCAACUUGGAAAGUUCAUUUUCUUGUUUUUCCCUUGUACCAGUACCCUUAAUUAACAAAAUGGUUGGGAGGAGGGGGAUUGGGUAAUUGGGAUUUAUAUAUGCUCUUCUCAUAUGAUUUUUCACCAUUUUUCAAAAAUCCUAAUUAUCAAUUGUUGAAAAAUUGAGUUGGGAGAUUGGUAAAAGGGGGAUUUUACCGCCGUUAAAACAGAGGAUGGAAGGGUGGAAGAGCAAUAAAAAGAAAAGGAUGAGAAGAGGAGGAUAGCAGGAGAGAUGAAUUUUGUUUAACAAUGA